GAUGAACGCUGGCGGCGUGCCUAACACAUGCAAGUCGAGCGAUUCUCUUCGGAGAAGAGCGGCGGACGGGUGAGUAACGCGUGGGCAACCUGCCCUGUACACACGGAUAACAUACCGAAAGGUAUGCUAAUACGGGAUAACAUAAGAAAUUCGCAUGUUUUUCUUAUCAAAGCUCCGGCGGUACAGGAUGGACCCGCGUCUGAUUAGCUAAUUGGUGAGGUAACGGCUCACCAAAGCGACGAUCAGUAGCCGACCUGAGAGGGUGAUCGGCCACGUUGGAACUGAGACACGGUCCAAACUCCUACGGGAGGCAGCAGUGGGGAAUAUUGCACAAUGGUCGAAAGCCUGAUGCAGCAACGCCGCGUGAGCGAUGAAGGCCUUCGGGUCGUAAAGCUCUGUCCUCAAGGAAGAUAAUGACGGUACUUGAGGAGGAAGCCCCGGCUAACUACGUGCCAGCCGCCGCGGUAA
This 468-nucleotide ribosomal RNA is filed under the name uncultured bacterium. Its description in RNAcentral is "partial 16S ribosomal RNA". It matches the Rfam family "Bacterial small subunit ribosomal RNA", at positions 28 to 523 of the family's 1533-position model. The record is from RNAcentral.